UACAGAGGUCCCAAGCGUUGUUCGGAUUCAUUGGGCGUAAAGGGUGCGUAGGUGGCAUGGUAAGUCGGGUGUGAAAUCCCGGGGCUCAACCCCGGAACUGCACUCGAUACUGCCGUGCUCGAGUACUGGAGAGGAGACUGGAAUUUACGAUGUAGCGGUGAAAUGCGUAGAUAUCGUAAGGAAGACCAGUGGCGAAGGCGGGUCUCUGGACAGUUCCUGACGCUGAGGCACGAAGGCCAGGGGAGCAAACGGG
RNAcentral lists this ribosomal RNA (253 nucleotides) under uncultured bacterium. RNAcentral describes it as "partial 16S ribosomal RNA". It matches the Rfam family "Bacterial small subunit ribosomal RNA", at positions 524 to 776 of the family's 1533-position model. The record is from RNAcentral.